Molecule: ribosomal RNA, 520 nt
Filed under: Colletotrichum gloeosporioides
Lineage: Eukaryota; Fungi; Ascomycota; Sordariomycetes; Glomerellales; Glomerellaceae
Description: eukaryotic LSU rRNA
Rfam family: 5.8S ribosomal RNA (bases 194-347)
Source: RNAcentral
UAACCUGCGGAGGGAUCAUUACUGAGUUUACGCUCUAUAACCCUUUGUGAACAUACCUAUAACUGUUGCUUCGGCGGGUAGGGUCUCCGCGACCCUCCCGGCCUCCCGCCUCCGGGCGGGUCGGCGCCCGCCGGAGGAUAACCAAACUCUGAUUUAACGACGUUUCUUCUGAGUGGUACAAGCAAAUAAUCAAAACUUUUAACAACGGAUCUCUUGGUUCUGGCAUCGAUGAAGAACGCAGCGAAAUGCGAUAAGUAAUGUGAAUUGCAGAAUUCAGUGAAUCAUCGAAUCUUUGAACGCACAUUGCGCCCGCCAGCAUUCUGGCGGGCAUGCCUGUUCGAGCGUCAUUUCAACCCUCAAGCUCUGCUUGGUGUUGGGGCCCUACAGCUGAUGUAGGCCCUCAAAGGUAGUGGCGGACCCUCCCGGAGCCUCCUUUGCGUAGUAACUUUACGUCUCGCACUGGGAUCCGGAGGGACUCUUGCCGUAAAACCCCCCAAUUUCCAAAGGUGACCUCGAUCAG